GACGAACGCUGGCGGCGUGCUUAACACAUGCAAGUCGAACGGAAAGGCCCUGCUUGCAGGGUGCUCGCGAGGGGAACGCGUGUGUAUCACGUGGGUGUUCUGUGCUCCACUCUGGGAUAAACCUUCGGGAAUGGGUGUAAUAUCCGGGAGGAGCCAUCUUUAGUCAGGUGGUUGGUAGGAAUGUUUGGUUGGGGAUGGGCGCGCGGCUUAUCAGCUUGUUGGUGGGGUAGUGGCUUACCAAGGCGGGGACGGGUAGCCGGCCUGAGAGGGUGGGCGGCCACAUUGGGACUGAGAUACGGCCCAGACUCCUACGGGAGGCAGCAGGGGGGAAUAUUGCACAAUGGGCGGAAGCCUGAUGCAGCAACGCCGCGGGAGGGAUGACGGCCUUCGGGUUGUAAACCGCUUUCGCCUGUGAAGAAGCGUGAGUGACGGUAAUGGGUAAAGAAGCACCGGCUAACUACGUG
RNAcentral lists this ribosomal RNA (464 nucleotides) under uncultured bacterium. RNAcentral describes it as "partial 16S ribosomal RNA". It matches the Rfam family "Bacterial small subunit ribosomal RNA", at positions 28 to 507 of the family's 1533-position model. The record is from RNAcentral.